RNAcentral lists this long non-coding RNA (1717 nucleotides) under Balaenoptera musculus (blue whale). RNAcentral's name for it is "lncRNA (ENSBMSG00010016802.1)". Lineage: Eukaryota; Metazoa; Chordata; Mammalia; Artiodactyla; Balaenopteridae. The record is from RNAcentral.
CUGUUCACCCGCGGAGGCAGCCCGCGGACACGGUCCGCACGUCUGCAAGGCCGGCAGCCGCGGGCAGAGCCCUCCCGCCGGGCAGCCCUCGGCCCCGCCUCCUCUCCCGGCGCCGCCCGAGGUGGGUGCAAGCCGCCCGCCGUGACGGAAGGACAGGCGCCCACACGCCGCCAGGCACCGCGGAGCACCACCAGCUCACCGACCGGCCCCAGCUCCGGAAACAGCCGCCCCACGCGGGGGGCGGGGGCGGGAGGGCGGCGGCGGCGGCGGCUGCUACGCGGCGGCUGCUCUCGCGGGAUCUCUCUCUGCCUCCGUGUCUUCGGGCCCCAUCGAGACCUCGCGUGGUUUGGGCUAGGGGCGGGGCGAGCCGAGGGGCGGAGUCGGAUGGGGCGUUCCCGGGCCUUGUUGACUUCAGCGCCCUCGCGGCGGCCCUCGCGCCCGCCGCCGUCCGCGCAUGCCCGGUCCCCGCCGGCUCGGAGGCCGCGGCGCUUGGGCUUCCCCAACCAGCGUCCGGGCCCCGCCCCUCCCCCCGGCGGCGGCGGCGGACGUGUUGUUUUGGCGGCGGCGCCGGCUGCCGCGGAGCCAGCUGAGUCCCAGCGCCUCACCUGCGCCCGCUGCGGCGGGCCCACCGACCGCCUCGCCACAGCGUGCCUGUGUCGUGCUCAUCUUGCCGGAUCCGUGGUGAAGAAGUGUUCAGUGCAGCCUGGAGGGAGGUACUGAGCUAUAGUUUUAAAAGCUUUUGCAAGCAUUUUGAUUGCUUAGUUUGGACAGUUUUCUCAAAAUGAGAUUUAUUAACUAAAGGAACCACUGAUGACAGAUUAAUCAUUUGAACUUAAGGUGAAGCUCUUAGCACUUACUUCAGAGCCCAUAGCAUUGUUAUGGUCAUCUUAGGACGACAGUUCAUUUCUCAGAACUUCUUAAACUUUCUCUGGGUUGUGAGUAAAAAUAAGGAUAGAACCAUUUGUCCCCAUAAAUGAAAUAAAGCUAUAGUAUCAAUGUGGUGUGUGUGUGUGUUUGCAUUUCUCAAGGGUCUCAGACCUGCAUUUCUAGUCAUUUUAUUUCUGAUAAUGUGAAUAUUAGUAGUAGUGCAUGACAUAAGAUCUGUGAAUAAGGCUGAAAUAUCUCUGUACUUAGGAAAUCCAGAACAAUUCACUCUUAGUUGGUUUUCUUCAUUCGUAUGGUGCAGGUAAUAGCACCUGUCCUGAAAUACCCUAAGGUAAUUAUGAUAUUAUGUGAGUUGGUACUGAAAUAUAACAAGGUGUUUUUGUUUUAUGCAGCUUUUACUAGUGUCUGUCUGUAGAUAAAGUGACCAUGAUGGACUUCAGAAAGAUGCCAUUUUAUAGAACUACCAUAUGACCCAGCAAUCCCACUACUGGGCAUAUACCCUGACAAAACCAUAAUUCAAAGAGUCAUGUACCAAAAUGUUCAUUGCAGCUCUGUUUACAAUAGCCAGGACAUGGAAGCAACCUAAGUGUCCAUCGACAGAUGAAUGGAUAAAGAAGAUGUGGCACAUAUAUACAAUGGAAUAUUACUCAGCCAUAAAAAGAAACGAAAUUGAGUUAUUUGUAGUGAGGUGGAUGGACCUAGAGUCUGUCAUACAGAGUGAAGUCAGAAAGAGAAAAACAAAUACCGUAUGCUAACACAUAUAUAUGGAAUCUUAAAAAAAAAAAAAAAGGUUCUGAAGAACCUAGGGGCAGGACAGGAGUAAAGACGCAGA